This 253-nucleotide ribosomal RNA is filed under the name uncultured bacterium. RNAcentral's name for it is "partial 16S ribosomal RNA". It matches the Rfam family "Bacterial small subunit ribosomal RNA", at positions 524 to 776 of the family's 1533-position model. The record is from RNAcentral.
UACAGAGGUCCCAAGCGUUGUUCGGAUUCACUGGGCGUAAAGGGUGCGUAGGCGGUCGCGUAAGUCUGAUGUGAAAGCUCGGAGCUUAACUCCGAAAUGGCGUCGGAUACUACUCGACUCGAGGAGUGGAGGGGAGACUGGAAUGCUCGGUGUAGCAGUGAAAUGCGUAGAUAUCGAGCGGAACACCAGUGGCGAAGGCGAGUCUCUGGACACUUCCUGACGCUGAGGCACGAAAGCCAGGGGAGCAAACGGG